Molecule: ribosomal RNA, 469 nt
Filed under: uncultured bacterium
Lineage: Bacteria
Description: partial 16S ribosomal RNA
Rfam family: Bacterial small subunit ribosomal RNA
Source: RNAcentral
GAUGAACGCUGGCGGCGUGCUUAACACAUGCAAGUCGAACGGUGAACACGGAGCUUGCUCUGUUGUAUCAGUGGCGAACGGGUGAGUAACACGUGAGCAACCUGCCCCUGACUCCGGGAUAAGCGCUGGAAACGGCGUCUAAUACUGGAUAUGUGACGUGACCUCAUGGUCUGCGUUUGGAAAGAUUUUUCGGUUGGGACUGGGCUCGCGGCCUAUCAGCUUGUUGGUGAGGUAAUGGCUCACCAAGGCGUCGGCGGGUAGCCGGCCUGCGAGGGUGACCGGCCACACUGGGACUGAGAAACGGCCCAGACUCCUACGGGGGGCAGCAGUGGGGAAUAUUGCACGAUGGGCGGAAGCCUGAUGCAGCAACGCCGCAUGGGGGAUGACGGCCUUCGGGUUGUAACGCUUUUGUAGCAGGGAAGAAGCGAAAGUGACGGUACCUGCAGAAAAAGCGCCGGCUAACUACGUG